AGGGGUGAGUAAAGUGGCGUACGGGUGAGUAACACGUGGGUAAUCUACUCUUUGGUGGGGAAUAACCCUGGGAAACCGGGGCUAAUACCGCAUAAGCUCGUAAGAGGAAAGGUGAAAAUCGCCGAAGAAGGAGCCCGCGGCUGAUUAGCUAGUUGGUGAGGUAAAGGCUCACCAAGGCGAAGAUCGGUAGCCGGCCUGAGAGGGCACACGGCCACACUGGCACUGAAACACGGGCCAGACUCCUACGGGAGGCAGCAGUGGGGAAUCUUGCACAAUGGGGGCAACCCUGAUGCAGCGACGCCGCGUGAGCGAUGAAGCCCUUCGGGGUGUAAAGCUCUUUCGGCAGGAACGAUAAUGACGGUACCUGAAGAAGAAGCUGCGGCUAACUACGUGCCAGCAGCCGCGGUAAUACGUAGGCAGCGAGCGUUGUUCGGAGUUACUGGGCGUAAAGCGUGCGUAGGCGGUCUUGUAAGUUUGGUGUGAAAUCUCCCGGCUCAACUGGGAGGGUGCGCCGAAAACUGCAAGGCUGGAGUAUGGGAGAGGUAGGCGGAAUUCCUGGUGUAGCGGUGAAAUGCGUAGAUAUCAGGAGGAACACCUGUGGUGUAGACGGCUUACUGGACCAUGACUGACGCUGAGGCACGAAAGCGUGGGGAGCAAACAGGAUUAGAUACCCUGGUAGUCCACGCCCUAACGAUGCAUACUUGGUGUGGGUAAUUCAUUUUAUCCGUGCCGGAGCUAACGCGUUAAGUAUGCCGCCUGGGGAGUACGGUCGCAAGGCUG
RNAcentral lists this ribosomal RNA (780 nucleotides) under uncultured Acidobacteriota bacterium. Its description in RNAcentral is "bacterial SSU rRNA". It matches the Rfam family "Bacterial small subunit ribosomal RNA", at positions 82 to 896 of the family's 1533-position model. Lineage: Bacteria; Pseudomonadati; Acidobacteriota. The record is from RNAcentral.